AUGGCCUCGAGCUCCCUCCCGCUCCUCGCCCUCCUGGCCCUGCUGGCCCUGCCAGGGCUCCGGGCGGCCGUGACCCUGCUGGAGUCCGGGGGGGACCUCCAGCCCCCCGGGGGGUCCCUGACUCUGCUCUGCCACGCCUCUGGGUUCAAUUUUGGGAGUUUUGGAAUGUACUGGAUCCGCCAGAGCCCCGGGAAGGCGCUGGAAUUUGUUGCGAGUAUCAGGAACGAUGGUGGCUACACCUACUACGCGCCGUCAGUCAAUGGCCGGUUCAGGAUCUCCAGGGACAACGGGCAGAGCUCGGUGACGCUGACCAUGAACAACCUCAAGGACGAGGAUUCCGGCGCCUAUUUCUGUGCCAAAUCUCCUGGUGGUUGGGCUGAUGCUGGUAAUGGUGUUUGUGUUGCUAUUUCAUGUUUUACCCCGUCCCCAUCACUGUCCCCAGCUGUCCCCAGCUGUCCCCAGACCCGUCCCCCAACCCUCAGCCUCUGA
Molecule: non-coding RNA, 489 nt
Organism: Oenanthe melanoleuca
Lineage: Eukaryota; Metazoa; Chordata; Aves; Passeriformes; Muscicapidae
Source: the annotation of a RefSeq genome assembly